AUGGUGGCUGUGGCGAAAGAGCAAGUGGACACAAUUUACAAAGAGGCAGACAUGUAUUCGUUGAACCCAAUCGAGUUACAAAUGCGAGGGAUAUACACACAAAAUCUGUUCUCCAAGUUCCAGGUAGAGAUGAAGCUAAAGACUGCUUACGGAUGUGACACUUUGCAAGAUGGAACAUUCAGGAUGUGGUCGCUCCGAGGCAUACUACCAAAGUAUGGGGAUAGGGACUACCAUGUGCAGGCGAACAAGGAUGAAGGGGUAUACUCAUGCACUUGCUGCAAAUUUGAUCGCGAUGGGCUAUUAUGUGCACACAUACUACGAGUAAUG
This 327-nucleotide ribosomal RNA is filed under the name Triticum aestivum (bread wheat). RNAcentral's name for it is "partial small subunit ribosomal RNA". Lineage: Eukaryota; Viridiplantae; Streptophyta; Magnoliopsida; Poales; Poaceae. The record is from RNAcentral.